GAUGAACGCUAGCGGCAGGCCUAAUACAUGCAAGACGAACGGUAAGAUUUUUAGCAAUAAGAGUCCUAGAGUGUCGUAAGGGUGCGUAACACGUAUGCAAUCUGCCCUCAACAGGAGGAUAGCUCACCGAAAGGGGAAUUAACACUCCAUAAGAUCACAUAAUGGCAUCAUUGAGUGAUUAAAACUACGGCGGGUGAGGAUGAGCAUGGGCAUGAUUAGUUAGUUGGCGGGGUAACGGCCCACCAAGACGAUGAGCAUUAGGGGAACUGGGAGGUUGAUCCCCCACACUGGCACUGAGAUACGGGCCAGACUCCUACGGGAGGCAGCAGUAGGGAAUAUUGGACAAUGGGUGCGAGCCUGAUCCAGCCAUGCCGCGUGCAGGAAGACGGCCUUCUGGGUUGUAAACUGCUUUUGCCAGGGGAUAAAACGUUCCUGCGGGGAUAAUUGAAGGUACCUGGUGAAUAAGCCACGGCUAACUACGUGCCAGCCGCCGCGGUAA
This 499-nucleotide ribosomal RNA is filed under the name uncultured bacterium. RNAcentral describes it as "partial 16S ribosomal RNA". It matches the Rfam family "Bacterial small subunit ribosomal RNA", at positions 28 to 523 of the family's 1533-position model. The record is from RNAcentral.